UCUACUAAAUAAAUUGUUAUAGUUCUGUAAAAUGCUAGCAAGUGUGUGUUUAAUGUAAAUGUUAAUCAUGUAAACCAAAUGUAAAUGUUGGUUUGAUCUGUUAUUUCAAUAAACUAUCAUUUUCUGUCAGACUCUUAUAAACAAAUUAGGCUCUGACAUCAUCCUUCAUCUUAAAAAGACUUGAUGUCAUGUUUGUCAGCCAAGUAGAAGCUCCAAUCAUCAUCAUCAUGUUCUCUGUAGUUCUGCUGCUUCUGGCUGCUGGAUCCUGUGUGAAGUGUGAACAGCUGACACAGCCAGACUCUGUGAGUCUUCAGCCAGGUCAGAGACUGACCAUCACCUGUCAGGUCUCUUAUUCUGUGAGCAGCUACUGGACAGCUUGGAUCAGACAGCCUGCAGGGAAAGGACUGGAGUGGAUUGGGAUGAAAUACACUGGAGGCUCUUACUACAAAGAUUCACUGAAGAACAAGUUCAGCAUUGAUUUAGACUCUUCCAACAACAGAGUGACUCUAAAUGGACAGAACAUGCAGCCUGAAGACACUGCUGGGUAUUUCUGUGCCAGAGGGUCACAGUGAUACAAACCAUCAACAGACCUGAACAAAAACCCUCAGAGCCUGAAAACUUGUAGCAUGAAUCCACCAGAGGAG
Oryzias melastigma (Indian medaka) is the source of this 644-nucleotide non-coding RNA. NCBI's taxonomy places the organism in Eukaryota, Metazoa, Chordata, Actinopteri, Beloniformes, Adrianichthyidae. The record is from the annotation of a RefSeq genome assembly.